CGCCCCUCGCGCGGCGUCACCCUGUGAACCUCCCCAGGGCCGGAAGGCAGCAAGGAUAAGCGGGCUCUGUCGGGUGCGCGAGGGGUCUCU
RNAcentral lists this signal recognition particle RNA (90 nucleotides) under Micromonosporaceae bacterium. RNAcentral's name for it is "Bacterial small signal recognition particle RNA". It matches the Rfam family "Bacterial small signal recognition particle RNA". From Rfam's summary of the family: The signal recognition particle (SRP) is a universally conserved ribonucleoprotein involved in the co-translational targeting of proteins to membranes. Archaeal SRP consists of a 7S RNA and homologues of the eukaryotic SRP19 and SRP54 proteins. The record is from Rfam by way of RNAcentral. Lineage: Bacteria; Bacillati; Actinomycetota; Actinomycetes; Micromonosporales; Micromonosporaceae.